AGCUCUGUAAGCGUAUAUCAAAGUUGUUGCAGUUAAAACGCUCGUAGUCGAAUCUUGGCUGAACUUACGCGGAGUCCGCAAGGAUUCUGCGGUUGAGGAAAGCCUUUGUGGAUUGUGUGCGCGGAGGUGUUUUAUUACACUUCUGUUGUACUGCCACCGUUUACUGUGAAAAAAUUAGAGUGUUCAAAGCAAGCGAUUUGCCCUUAAUACAUUAGCAUGGAAUAAUAUAAUAGGACCUGGUCUUAUUUUGUUGGUUUGUAUAAUUUCAGGUAAUGAUUAACAGGGACGGUUGGGGGCAUUUGUAUUCCGAGGCGAGAGGUGAAAUUCUUAGACCCUCGGAAGACAAACAGCUGCGAAAGCGUUUGCCAAGGACGUUUUCAUUGAUCAAGAACGAAAGUAC
This 400-nucleotide ribosomal RNA is filed under the name phytoplankton environmental sample. RNAcentral's name for it is "partial small subunit ribosomal RNA". It matches the Rfam family "Eukaryotic small subunit ribosomal RNA", at positions 587 to 992 of the family's 1831-position model. The record is from RNAcentral.